Molecule: ribosomal RNA, 109 nt
Filed under: Labrus bergylta (ballan wrasse)
Lineage: Eukaryota; Metazoa; Chordata; Actinopteri; Labriformes; Labridae
Source: RNAcentral
GCUUACGGCCAUACCACCCUGAACACGCCCGAUCUCGUCCGAAGCUAAGCAGGGUCGGGCCUGUUAGUACUUGGAUGGGAGACGCCUGGGAAACCAGGUGCUGUAAGCU